UAAUACCUUUGCUCAUUGACGUUACCCGCAGAAGAAGCACCGGCUAACUCCGUGCCAGCAGCCGCGGUAAUACGGAGGGUGCAAGCGUUAAUCGGAAUUACUGGGCGUAAAGCGCACGCAGGCGGUUUGUUAAGUCAGAUGUGAAAUCCCCGGGCUCAACCUGGGAACUGCAUCUGAUACUGGCAAGCUUGAGUCUCGUAGAGGGGGGUAGAAUUCCAGGUGUAGCGGUGAAAUGCGUAGAGAUCUGGAGGAAUACCGGUGGCGAAGGCGGCCCCCUGGACGAAGACUGACGCUCAGGUGCGAAAGCGUGGGGAGCAAACAGGAUUAGAUACCCUGGUAGUCCACGCCGUAAACGAUGUCGACUUGGAGGUUGUGCCCUUGAGGCGUGGCUUCCGGAGCUAACGCGUUAAGUCGACCGCCUGGGGAGUACGGCCGCAAGGUUAAAACUCAAAUGAAUUGACGGGGGCCCGCACAAGCGGUGGAGCAUGUGGUUUAAUUCGAUGCAACGCGAAGAACCUUACCUGGUCUUGACAUCCACGGAAGUUUUCAGAGAUGAGAAUGUGCCUUCGGGAACCGUGAGACAGGUGCUGCAUGGCUGUCGUCAGCUCGUGUUGUGAAAUGUUGGGUUAAGUCCCGCAACGAGCGCAACCCUUAUCCUUUGUUGCCAGCGGUCCGGCCGGGAACUCAAAGGAGACUGCCAGUGAUAAACUGGAGGAAGGUGGGGACGACGUCAAGUCAUCAUGGCCCUUACGACCAGGGCUACACACGUGCUACAAUGGCGCAUACAAAGAGAAGCGACCUCGCGAGAGCAAGCGGACCUCAUAAAGUGCGUCGUAGUCCGGAUUGGAGUCUGCAACUCGACUCCAUGAAGUCGGAAUCGCUAGUAAUCGUGGAUCAGAAUGCCACGGUGAAUACGUUCCCGGGCCUUGUACACACCGCCCGUCACACCAUGGGAGUGGGUUGCAAAAGAAGUAGGUAGCUUAACCUUCGGGAGGGCGCUUACCACUUUGUGAUUCAUGACUGGGGUGAAGUCGUAACAAGGUAACCGUAGGGGAACCUGCGGUUGGAUCACCUCCUUACCUUAAAGAAGC
Molecule: ribosomal RNA, 1091 nt
Filed under: Shigella boydii
Lineage: Bacteria; Pseudomonadati; Pseudomonadota; Gammaproteobacteria; Enterobacterales; Enterobacteriaceae
Description: bacterial SSU rRNA
Rfam family: Bacterial small subunit ribosomal RNA
Source: RNAcentral